GUUAUUCGGAAUAACUGGGCGUAAAGGGCGCGUAGGCGGUCUAUCCAGUUGGGCGUGAAAGCCCUGGGCUCAACCCAGGAAUUGCGUUCAAUACUAAUAGACUAGAGACCGAGAGAGGAUAGUGGAAUUUCCAGUGUAGAGGUGAAAUUCGUAGAUAUUGGAAAGAACACCAGUGGCGAAAGCGGCUAUCUGGCUCGGAACUGACGCUGAGGCGCGAAAGCGUGGGGAGCAAACAGGAUUAGAUACCCUGGUAGUCCACGCCGUAAACGAUGUCUGCUAGGUGUCGGGAGGUUACCUCUCGGUGCCGCCGCUAACGCAUUAAGCAGACCGCCUGGGAAGUACGGCCGCAAGGCUAAAACUCAAAGGAAUUGACAGGGGCCCGCACAAGCGGUGGAGCAUGUGGUUUAAUUCGAGGCAACGCGAAGAACCUUACCAGCCCUUGACAUGGGUAGUAUGGAUUUUGGAGACAAUUUCCUUCAGUUCGGCUGGCUACCACACAGGUGCUGCAUGGCU
RNAcentral lists this ribosomal RNA (513 nucleotides) under uncultured Rhodospirillaceae bacterium. RNAcentral's name for it is "bacterial SSU rRNA". It matches the Rfam family "Bacterial small subunit ribosomal RNA", at positions 540 to 1050 of the family's 1533-position model. Lineage: Bacteria; Pseudomonadati; Pseudomonadota; Alphaproteobacteria; Rhodospirillales; Rhodospirillaceae. The record is from RNAcentral.